CCCAGUGUGAAGUGAAAGCAAAGUUUUAAAAUUUUUUCUCCUCUGCAAGAAAAUAUAUUUCAGAAAAUCCCUAUCUCAAAAAUGAAGCAAUUAAGAACUGUCUGGCUGUGAGGAUCUGGCCUCAACUUGACUUAAAGCAACUACUUCAGUUACGUAUCAAGAUGUGCGUGAGAAUGAACCUGCUCUGCUCAGCCAACGUGCUGAGUGACUUGAUGUUUGUAAUAAAUAAACAAAUAAACAACAAACAGGUUGUCAUGAAAUAUCCUUUGUAAUUAUAAACACAGGAAACUUUCUGAGAUGCAAGUGGGUGUUAAAUGGUUCAGCAAAGCCAAGCCAGAGCAGUUGGUGUGCUUUGAAAUGAAGCAACAUUGGAAAAAUGAAAUCUACUGAAAGAUCACUACAUGUUUCAAAGAACUGACUAGAACCAGAACUCUUCAGAAAAGAACGUGCUAAAGGUUUGUCCUUGAGAAGUUUCCAAGCCAAGACACUCCUAGGAGCACUUCCCAUUGAGGCCAAAAGGCUCAUCCACUUACAGCGAUUCAUGGGAAAAGAGGACAGCACCCUCAUCUUUGGUCCAAGAACACAAUCCUGAGUGACACAGGAUUGCCCUGAAAGUCAACAGCAUCCGUCUUACAAAAAUCAACAACACUCGCUUUUCAACCUUCCAAAGAAUUUACUGGUCUGGUUUGGCCUUUUGGUGCCACAUUCCAUUCCAGAACCCCAGCUAAAAUGUUCUCAAGGGCUGACCAGAGAUUCCUCCUCCUUUCUCUGGGCUGGUAC
This 780-nucleotide small RNA is filed under the name Pan troglodytes (chimpanzee). RNAcentral describes it as "retained intron". Lineage: Eukaryota; Metazoa; Chordata; Mammalia; Primates; Hominidae. The record is from RNAcentral.